AGGGGUAUAGCUCAGAUGGUAGAGCAGCGGUCUCCAAAACCGCGUGCCGAGGGUUC
RNAcentral lists this transfer RNA (56 nucleotides) under Ruminococcus sp. CAG:579. It matches the Rfam family "tRNA", at positions 1 to 54 of the family's 71-position model. From Rfam's summary of the family: Transfer RNA (tRNA) molecules are approximately 80 nucleotides in length. Their secondary structure includes four short double-helical elements and three loops (D, anti-codon, and T loops). Further hydrogen bonds mediate the characteristic L-shaped molecular structure. tRNAs have two regions of fundamental functional importance: the anti-codon, which is responsible for specific mRNA codon recognition, and the 3' end, to which the tRNAs corresponding amino acid is attached (by aminoacyl-tRNA synthetases). tRNAs cope with the degeneracy of the genetic code in two manners: having more than one tRNA (with a specific anti-codon) for a particular amino acid; and 'wobble' base-pairing, i.e. permitting non-standard base-pairing at the 3rd anti-codon position. The record is from Rfam by way of RNAcentral. Lineage: Bacteria; Bacillati; Bacillota; Clostridia; Eubacteriales; Oscillospiraceae.